GGCUACUUUCUGUUUGUUUCCUUUAACAGGAAGGUGUAUAUCCCUUUUCUCCCAUGCCUCAUUUGUUUUCCAUCCUCAGGAAGAAGGAAUUUAAAAAGCUGGAGACUUGAAAGCAUUUUGCUAAAAUAUAUUUACGUGACAGAUUCCUCUGGAGAGAUUCAUCUCUGGUUYGUGGUAGCUAUUUCUGUUUGAUUACGUAUGGCAGGUUCUCUACUGCAGUGGUGGUUUCCAUUGAGCUAUAUUAAGAUAGCCAAAGUUGCUUUACUCUUUCAGCAAGAAUAUUUCAUUACAAUAUCAAUCCUGAACUGAUUUUUGUUUUAAUUCUGAAGUUGGAUGCUCUUGAGAUGGCCUGUAAGAACUUUUACAAGAUUCUAAAAGUGAAACUGGCAAAAUUGUUUGAGACAAAGUAAGGAAAUACAAAGAACAGACAUAAAAAGAACAAAAAGAAAAUGAAGUACUUAUUCUGAAAGGUUUUCAGAGUUAAAACUUUAAACUAUUGAAUAUUGUGAUAACAGCACAUGUAUCUUCAUGUGAUAGUGCAGAGGAUUUACAUUUGCAGAAGCAUAUGCAAAAUCAACAGUACUUUGCACAUAAGAAAAUAAGAGAUUCAGUAUUAUUAUUAGUUUCAGGCUUAAUAUUGUUUUAAAACUGAAUCCUCUGGAAGUCAGCUCU
Molecule: long non-coding RNA, 672 nt
Filed under: Dromaius novaehollandiae (emu)
Lineage: Eukaryota; Metazoa; Chordata; Aves; Casuariiformes; Dromaiidae
Description: lncRNA (ENSDNVG00000016707.1)
Source: RNAcentral